CAGCCGCCACGGGAAUACGUAGGUGGCAAGCGUUGUCCGGAAUCACUGGGCGUAAAGCGCACGUAGGCGGAUACUUAAGUCAGGGGUGAAAUCCCGGGGCUCAACCUCGGAACUGCCUUUGAUACUGGGUAUCUUGAGUCCGGGAGAGGUUGGUGGAACUCCGAGUGUAGAGGUGAAAUUCGUAGAUAUUCGGAAGAACACCAGUGGCGAAGGCGGCCAACUGGCCCGGUACUGACGCUGAGGUGCGAAAGCGUGGGGAGCAAACAGGAUUAGAGACCCCAGUAGUCCCUGUCUCUUAUAC
RNAcentral lists this ribosomal RNA (301 nucleotides) under uncultured bacterium. Its description in RNAcentral is "partial 16S ribosomal RNA". It matches the Rfam family "Bacterial small subunit ribosomal RNA", at positions 509 to 807 of the family's 1533-position model. The record is from RNAcentral.